This is a long non-coding RNA of Gavialis gangeticus (Gharial), 1301 nucleotides long. RefSeq lists it as uncharacterized. The transcript is spliced from 2 exons. The record is from RefSeq and is a predicted model, not a curated record. Lineage: Eukaryota; Metazoa; Chordata; Crocodylia; Gavialidae.
CCUAAACUUGUCUGAUGAAUCAUUUGCUAAAAAUAAUUUACCCACUUCUAAUUGGGAUAUCUGCACUUCGACAAAUAGAUUAGGUUGUAACAAGGGCUUUUAAUCUCACGUUGUGAAGCCAAAAGUGCACAGGCUUCAGCGUUUAAUUAAAUAGGUUUCUGCUGAUGGGGAGCUGCUUUUAUUUGUCACUGGGGUUAAGCCUCCUCUUCUCAUAGAUGUGCUGUCUGAAGUGCUUUAUUUUAAGUGGGUGCCAGCACAGUGUCAAGGCAACUGCCUCUUGGUUUUUUGUUUUUUAAUUUUGGCUGAUGGUUUUGGGUUGGUUUUGUGUGUUUUUUGCAUUCUCAUGCUUGUUUGUCUGCAGUUUAUUUCUGUGGCCAGCAGGGAAACGGGACAGGAGUGGUCCUGCCCAAGAGCAUCAGCGGAGAUAGAGACUAGGCCAAUAUAAAGGAGACACCGGUGUCCUCCUAAAACUACUACGAAGCACUCUCUUAAAUAUGUCCUGAGGCUGAUCCAGUACGUCUUUAAAACGAUACCUGGAGGCUGGGUUUUUGAAGUCUGAGACUGAAGGGCAGAGCAAACUCUUGGCAUCUGCGUUUUCCUGAUUUAUUUAUUUCCAUUCUUGUUCGUUAGACUGAAGAAUAGGGAGCAAGAUGCAGGGGAUGGGGCUGUACCCCCAAGUCCGGCAAAGCUCUGCCUGUCCCAGCGUGUCUAUUUUUUUUCUUGGUGAUUGAGAGAGAGCUGAGCAGGUCCAGUGAUACAGAGCAAAUAAAACCAGCCAUGAAAAACAGAAUAAAGCAAGAACUUCCUGCGAGAGGCAUUUUUUUUUUAACUCAUAUUUUUGGUGACUUAAUUCAGCCUUUCAAAAGCAACAGUGCGGGAGCAGUUUUACGUUAAUAGCAACUCGUGAUUAAAAAAAAAAAAAAAAAAAGAACGAACCUGUUUUCAAUGUGUAAUUUAAUGGUAAGAAAAGCCAGUAUUUGUAAAUAACUUUAGAUAUUGUAUCUAUGAGGAACAUGAUUUGUUUUAUGUACUUUGCUCUUUUCAUAUUUAUUGUGCGGAAGAGGGUUUUAUACCUCAUCGAUAUACUACUAGUGCACGUUUGAAGUAGUAUCUUUCAGAGACUGUGUGCAGAGUUUACAGUCCUCAGCAGUUUCUGUGAUGUGCCACCUUUAGUUAAUUCUACCAUUUUUAUUUUAUUUUAUUUUUUAAAUGAGACUUAUUUUGGAACAGCGAAGCUGCUUCUGUGUGUUGGUCAACUGCUCUCAUACAAAGAGACUUACAAUAAAAAAAAAAUCAUGUGA